UUAAGCGACUAAGCGUACACGGUGGAUGCCCUGGCAGUCAGAGGCGAUGAAGGACGUGCUAAUCUGCGAUAAGCGUCGGUAAGGUGAUAUGAACCGUUAUAACCGGCGAUUUCCGAAUGGGGAAACCCAGUGUGAUUCGUCACACUAUCAUUAACUGAAUCCAUAGGUUAAUGAGGCGAACCGGGGGAACUGAAACAUCUAAGUACCCCGAGGAAAAGAAAUCAACCGAGAUUCCCCCAGUAGCGGCGAGCGAACGGGGAGCAGCCCAGAGCCUGAAUCAGUGUGUGUGUUAGUGGAAGCGUCUGGAAAGGCGCGCGAUACAGGGUGACAGCCCCGUACACAAAAAUGCACAUGCUGUGAGCUCGAUGAGUAGGGCGGGACACGUGGUAUCCUGUCUGAAUAUGGGGGGACCAUCCUCCAAGGCUAAAUACUCCUGACUGACCGAUAGUGAACCAGUACCGUGAGGGAAAGGCGAAAAGAACCCCGGCGAGGGGAGUGAAAAAGAACCUGAAACCGUGUACGUACAAGCAGUGGGAGCACGCUUAGGCGUGUGACUGCGUACCUUUUGUAUAAUGGGUCAGCGACUUAUAUUCUGUAGCAAGGUUAACCGAAUAGGGGAGCCGAAGGGAAACCGAGUCUUAACUGGGCGUUAAGUUGCAGGGUAUAGACCCGAAACCCGGUGAUCUAGCCAUGGGCAGGUUGAAGGUUGGGUAACACUAACUGGAGGACCGAACCGACUAAUGUUGAAAAAUUAGCGGAUGACUUGUGGCUGGGGGUGAAAGGCCAAUCAAACCGGGAGAUAGCUGGUUCUCCCCGAAAGCUAUUUAGGUAGCGCCUCGUGAAUUCAUCUCCGGGGGUAGAGCACUGUUUCGGCAAGGGGGUCAUCCCGACUUACCAACCCGAUGCAAACUGCGAAUACCGGAGAAUGUUAUCACGGGAGACACACGGCGGGUGCUAACGUCCGUCGUGAAGAGGGAAACAACCCAGACCGCCAGCUAAGGUCCCAAAGUCAUGGUUAAGUGGGAAACGAUGUGGGAAGGCCCAGACAGCCAGGAUGUUGGCUUAGAAGCAGCCAUCAUUUAAAGAAAGCGUAAUAGCUCACUGGUCGAGUCGGCCUGCGCGGAAGAUGUAACGGGGCUAAACCAUGCACCGAAGCUGCGGCAGCGACGCUUAUGCGUUGUUGGGUAGGGGAGCGUUCUGUAAGCCUGUGAAGGUGUACUGUGAGGUAUGCUGGAGGUAUCAGAAGUGCGAAUGCUGACAUAAGUAACGAUAAAGCGGGUGAAAAGCCCGCUCGCCGGAAGACCAAGGGUUCCUGUCCAACGUUAAUCGGGGCAGGGUGAGUCGACCCCUAAGGCGAGGCCGAAAGGCGUAGUCGAUGGGAAACAGGUUAAUAUUCCUGUACUUGGUGUUACUGCGAAGGGGGGACGGAGAAGGCUAUGUUGGCCGGGCGACGGUUGUCCCGGUUUAAGCGUGUAGGCUGGUUUUCCAGGCAAAUCCGGAAAAUCAAGGCUGAGGCGUGAUGACGAGGCACUACGGUGCUGAAGCAACAAAUGCCCUGCUUCCAGGAAAAGCCUCUAAGCAUCAGGUAACAUCAAAUCGUACCCCAAACCGACACAGGUGGUCAGGUAGAGAAUACCAAGGCGCUUGAGAGAACUCGGGUGAAGGAACUAGGCAAAAUGGUGCCGUAACUUCGGGAGAAGGCACGCUGAUAUGUAGGUGAAGUGACUUACUCAUGGAGCUGAAAUCAGUCGAAGAUACCAGCUGGCUGCAACUGUUUAUUAAAAACACAGCACUGUGCAAACACGAAAGUGGACGUAUACGGUGUGACGCCUGCCCGGUGCCGGAAGGUUAAUUGAUGGGGUCAGCGCAAGCGAAGCUCUUGAUCGAAGCCCCGGUAAACGGCGGCCGUAACUAUAACGGUCCUAAGGUAGCGAAAUUCCUUGUCGGGUAAGUUCCGACCUGCACGAAUGGCGUAAUGAUGGCCAGGCUGUCUCCACCCGAGACUCAGUGAAAUUGAACUCGCUGUGAAGAUGCAGUGUACCCGCGGCAAGACGGAAAGACCCCGUGAACCUUUACUAUAGCUUGACACUGAACAUUGAGCCUUGAUGUGUAGGAUAGGUGGGAGGCUUUGAAGUGUGGACGCCAGUCUGCAUGGAGCCGACCUUGAAAUACCACCCUUUAAUGUUUGAUGUUCUAACGUGGACCCGUAAUCCGGGUUGCGGACAGUGUCUGGUGGGUAGUUUGACUGGGGCGGUCUCCUCCUAAAGAGUAACGGAGGAGCACGAAGGUUGGCUAAUCCUGGUCGGACAUCAGGAGGUUAGUGCAAUGGCAUAAGCCAGCUUGACUGCGAGCGUGACGGCGCGAGCAGGUGCGAAAGCAGGUCAUAGUGAUCCGGUGGUUCUGAAUGGAAGGGCCAUCGCUCAACGGAUAAAAGGUACUCCGGGGAUAACAGGCUGAUACCGCCCAAGAGUUCAUAUCGACGGCGGUGUUUGGCACCUCGAUGUCGGCUCAUCACAUCCUGGGGCUGAAGUAGGUCCCAAGGGUAUGGCUGUUCGCCAUUUAAAGUGGUACGCGAGCUGGGUUUAGAACGUCGUGAGACAGUUCGGUCCCUAUCUGCCGUGGGCGCUGGAGAACUGAGGGGGGCUGCUCCUAGUACGAGAGGACCGGAGUGGACGCAUCACUGGUGUUCGGGUUGUCAUGCCAAUGGCACUGCCCGGUAGCUAAAUGCGGAAGAGAUAAGUGCUGAAAGCAUCUAAGCACGAAACUUGCCCCGAGAUGAGUUCUCCCUGACUCCUUGAGAGUCCUGAAGGAACGUUGAAGACGACGACGUUGAUAGGCCGGGUGUGUAAGCGCAGCGAUGCGUUGAGCUAACCGGUACUAAUGAACCGUGAGGCUUAACCUU
RNAcentral lists this ribosomal RNA (2902 nucleotides) under Escherichia coli. RNAcentral's name for it is "bacterial LSU rRNA". It matches the Rfam family "Bacterial large subunit ribosomal RNA". Lineage: Bacteria; Pseudomonadati; Pseudomonadota; Gammaproteobacteria; Enterobacterales; Enterobacteriaceae. The record is from RNAcentral.